CUGGCGGCGUGCCUAACACAUGCAAGUCGAACGAAGCACUGCGGAUGGAGAUUCGUCAAAAUCUGCUUUGACUUAGUGGCGGACGGGUGAGUAAUGUGUGAGCAACCUGCCUUUCAGAGGGGGACAACAGUUGGAAACGACUGCUAAUACCGCAUAAUGUAUUGGAAGGGCAUCCUUUUGAUACCAAAGGAGCAAUCCGCUGAAAGAUGGGCUCACAUCUGAUUAGCUAGUUGGUGGGGUAACGGCCUACCAAGGCUGCGAUCAGUAGCCGGACUGAGAGGUUGAACGGCCACAUUGGGACUGAGAUGCGGCCCAGACUCCUACGGGAGGCAGCAGGUGGGGAAUAUUGGGCAAUGGGACGAAAGCCUCGACCCAGCAACGCCGCGUGAAGGAAGAAGGUCUUCGGAUUGUAAACUUCUUUUAUGAGGGACGAAGGACGUGACGGUACCUCAUGAAUAAGCCACGGCUAACUACGUGCCAGCCGCGGC
Molecule: ribosomal RNA, 488 nt
Filed under: uncultured bacterium
Lineage: Bacteria
Description: bacterial SSU rRNA
Rfam family: Bacterial small subunit ribosomal RNA
Source: RNAcentral